RNAcentral lists this ribosomal RNA (111 nucleotides) under Escherichia coli. RNAcentral also lists the same sequence under 2 other names. The record is from RNAcentral. Lineage: Bacteria; Pseudomonadati; Pseudomonadota; Gammaproteobacteria; Enterobacterales; Enterobacteriaceae.
GGCAGUAGCGCGGUGGUCCCACCUGACCCCAUGCCGAACUCAGAAGUGAAACGCCGUAGCGCCGAUGGUAGUGUGGGGUCUCCCCAUGCGAGAGUAGGGAACUGCCAGGCA